CGCCGCGCCACCUUCCUGUUGAAGUGAGCAAGGCACAACAAGGAAAGCACACAGGAAUGGCCAGCCCUGGCUCUCCUAUCAGCACAGGCUUCCCAACACACUUCCUAGCACACCAUCAUGCUGUUACCUAACCAGGACCAGUGGACCCCACCAAGCCUCUAGGUCACCAGGCUGCUCGUUAUGGCGCACAACCUGUCACCAUCUUUACGUGCACCUGAGCGUCGUCAGACUCACCUGGACUCCAUCACUUCCCUGAUUACCUUCCCUAUAUAUGUCACUCCCUUUGGUUCCUUCCCCAGGCGUUAUUGUUUCUGUUUCAUGUCUGUGCUUUGUUCGAGGUUCUUGUUUUGCAUUAUGUUCUGUUUAUUUUAUUAAAACACUCACU
Long non-coding RNA from Oncorhynchus tshawytscha (Chinook salmon), 385 nucleotides. RefSeq lists it as uncharacterized. Lineage: Eukaryota; Metazoa; Chordata; Actinopteri; Salmoniformes; Salmonidae. The record is from RefSeq and is a predicted model, not a curated record. The transcript has 3 exons.